GUCGUUAUCAGGCUCUAUUGUUACGUCCGACCUUAGCUGCACGCGAAAUCCAAUUCCACAUGCCACAUUUGACACAACAGCCAAGUGAUUGCAUUACAAAGACAAUGUUGCAAGGUGUGAGAUGUCCAAGUCGCUGCCACAUGUGCCAUGUGCCAUAUUCAUGAAACGCUAAUGAGGGCGCCAUGCAGUCCGCUGAUGCGGCCGACCACAUCAUAAUGGUGAUUGUUUGGCGGGAGGGAAUGCCAUGCCCUGUGGCCGCUGGCAAAUUGCUUCAAGGAGUUGCUGAAAUCUCU
Molecule: long non-coding RNA, 293 nt
Filed under: Drosophila guanche
Lineage: Eukaryota; Metazoa; Arthropoda; Insecta; Diptera; Drosophilidae
Source: RNAcentral